Oncorhynchus keta (chum salmon) is the source of this 230-nucleotide long non-coding RNA. RefSeq lists it as uncharacterized. The transcript is spliced from 3 exons. The record is from RefSeq and is a predicted model, not a curated record. NCBI's taxonomy places the organism in Eukaryota, Metazoa, Chordata, Actinopteri, Salmoniformes, Salmonidae.
UGUUGUGUGUGUCUAACCUGUGAGGUGGAUAUACAGGGUGUUGUGUGUGUGUCUAACCUGUGAGGUGGACAUACAGGGUGUUGUGUGUGUCUAACCUGUGAGGUGGACAUACAGGGUGUUGUGUGUGUCUAACCUGUGAGGUGGAUAUACAGGGUGUUGUGUGUGUGUCUAACCUGUGAGGUGGAUAUACAGGGUGUUGUGUGUGUCUAACCUGUGAGGUGGAUAUACAG